Molecule: ribosomal RNA, 3015 nt
Filed under: Triticum aestivum (bread wheat)
Lineage: Eukaryota; Viridiplantae; Streptophyta; Magnoliopsida; Poales; Poaceae
Description: partial small subunit ribosomal RNA
Source: RNAcentral
AUGGCGGAGACGGUGUUAAGCAUGGCGAGGUCCAUGCUGGGGGGCGCCAUCAGCAAGGCCACCUCUGCCGCGGCCACCGAGCUGAGCUUGGUGAUGGGUGUGCAGAAGGAUAUCUGGUUCAUCAAAGACGAGCUAAAGACGAUGCAAGCAUUCUUGUCAGCCGCUGAAGCAACGAAGAACAGAGACAUGCUGCUGAAGGUGUGGGCAGACCAAGUAAGGGACCUAUCCUACAAUAUAGAAGAUUGCCUUGAUGAAUUUAUGGUUCAUGUGAGGAGCCAAAGCCUAACAAAACGGCUGAUGAGGCUGAAAGAUCGUCGUCGGAUUGCUAUCCAAAUUCGCAACCUGAAAGCAAGAGUUGAAGAAGUGAGCAGCAGGAAUGCACGCUACAACUUGAUCAAGACAGAGGCCUCAACGACCAGUGACAAGGAGGUUUCUUACAUAGAAGAUGUACGUAAUCACUCGGCAAGCAACAUUGAUGAAGCAGAACUUGUGGGCUUUACAAAGCCUAGGGAGGAGUUGAUUAAGCUGAUGGAUGUCAACACAAGAGAUGGUAAUGCCAAAGUUAUAUGUGUGGUUGGCAUGGGUGGUUUAGGCAAGACUACUCUUACAAGAAAAACUUUUGAAAGUAAGGAAGAUAUUGUGAAGAAUUUUUCUUAUUGUGCUUGGAUCACAGUUUCACAGUCAUUUUGCAAGAUAGAAAUGCUCAAGGAUAUGACCAGGCAACUUCUGGGUGGAGAUUCAUUGAAGAACUUGUUGAAAGAACUUGAAGGGAAGGUGGUGCAAGUAAAGGACCUCGCCGAGUACCUCAAUCAAGAGAUUAAGGAUAAGAGGUACCUUAUUAUUCUUGAUGACUUGUGGACCAUAGAUGCAUGGAGGUGGAUUAAAGAUAUUAUUUUUCCUAAUAGUAACAAGAAAGGUAGUCGGAUAAUAGUAACAACACGUGAUGUUGGCUUAGCAAAGGAAUGUACUCUUGAAUCCCUUAUCUACCGUCUUAAACCCUUAGAGAUAGUCGAGGCCACAAAUUUGCUAAUAAAAAAGAGUAGGAAAAUAUAUGAAGACAUGGACAAAGAUGAAAACUUCAAGAGCAUAGUUGAAAAACUAGUUAAAAAGUGUGGUUGUUUACCACUGGCCAUACUCACAAUUGGAGGGAUCCUUGCCACUAAAAAGAUAGUAGAGUGGGAGCACGUCUAUAACCAACUCCCGUCUGAGCUUGAGAGUAACCCAAGCCUUGAAGCUAUGAAGAUGAUGGUUACUUUGAGUUACAACCACUUGCCAUCUCAUCUUAAGCCAUGUUUAUUAUACCUAAGCAUCUUUCCCGAGGAUUCAGAAAUCCAGAUGAGGCAUCUAGUAGAAAGAUGGAUUGCUGAGGGGUUGAUUAGGGGUGGGACUGGGAUGAACAUUGAGGAUGUGGCAAAAGGUUACUUUAAUGAGUUAAUCAACCGAAGCAUGCUUCAAGCAUCAAGGGUGAACAUAGAAGGAGUUGUGAAGAGCUGUCGAGUCCAUGAUAUUGUGCGUGAUGUCAUGAUCUCAGUUUCUAGAGAUGAAAAUUUUGUGUAUGUGGCACCAAGUAAUGUAACUGGUGCUAUGGAGGAGACAUUCCGACAUGUAGCAUACCAUGGUAGCAUAUGCCAAAAGAUAGAUAUGGAUUGGAGCCAUGUCCGGUCAGUAACUGUGUUUGGUGAGAGAUCAUUGGGUCCAUCACCUUCAGUUUGUUCACCUGACAUGAGAAUGCUCCGGGUCUUGGAUCUAGAGAAUGCACAGUUUCAAGUCACACAAAAGGAUAUCAACAACAUAGGAUUGUUUCGCCACUUAAAGUAUCUGAAUUUUUCUCAUCCUCGAGGAUAUUCACAUAUUUAUAAAGUUCCUAGAUCCAUAGGGAGAUUACAAGGCUUGCGCACUUUGAACAUUAGAGACAGUUAUAUUACAGAACUGCCAAAUGAGAUUUGUAAACUCAAGAGUCUACACAGUCUCCGUUGCAGCAGAAAUAAUUCAUAUCAAUACUUUUUUGACUGGGGUGGCCCCAUGAAUUGCUUGGUGGCCUCAUUUUUUGUGCCCAUUCUGUUCACACCUUUGCUUGAUCCUAGUGAGCGUGCUGAGCUACACAUGGCAUGGUCUAGCCGUUGGUCAUGGUCAUAUGGUGUGAAGGUGCCAAAAGGAAUCGGCAAACUGAAAGAGCUGCAAAUACUAGAGGUUGUGGACAUCAGCCGAACUAGUUGCAGUGCAAUUAAAGAGCUAGGUGAGCUUGUGCAGCUGAGAAAACUGAGCGUGGUAACAGAAGGGGUCACCAAGCAGAAAUGCAAGGUACUGUGUGAUGCCAUUCAGAAGCUCACUUCCCUCCGCUCUCUUCAAGUGGACGGUUCACUCGAGUGGCUGCAUGCUGUUUCCUCUCCUCCUCCCCUGUUGAGGAGUCUGAAUUUGGAUGGGCACCUUGGAGAGAUUCCUGGCUGGGUUGGCAGUCUGAUGCAUUUGGUCAAGCUUUACUUAUCGGGCAGCAAAAUAAAGGAAGAAGGUAACAUCAUGGAAAUACUAGGGCCACUUCCCAACCUCAUACAGCUUUUUCUUGGAUACAUGUCUUAUAUUGGGGAGAAGUUGGUGUUCAAAACGGGGGCAUUCCCAAAUCUCAAGAAACUGGAUACUCACGGUGUGUGGCAACUGAGAGGGGUGGAAUUCGAGGAUGGCACCUCAUCCCAGCUGGAAACGAUAGGUAUCAGUUGUUGCAGUUUGGCAUCAGGAAUUAUUGGUAUCAACCACCUUUCAAGUCUCAAGGAGAUCGCACUUGGUUCCGAAGGUCGAGUGGCGAAGCUUGCUAUGCUGCAAAGUGAAGUGGACGCACACCCCAACAGUCCCGUGCUGCGACUGGAGAGGGGCCAGAGCCAUCACGACCUGGGGGGUGUCGUCGUCCAAGUGGAAGAAGCAACGGAGGAAUCGCCAUCUCCGCAUGCUGAGCCUGAAGCAGCGGUAGUGACGACAAACCUCAGCCAAGAUGGUCUGCUUUACACUUACAAUUCAUGCUGA